CAGGCCUAACACAUGCAAGUCGAACUAUCAACUUCCCGCUUGCGGGAGGGAGUCAAGUGGCGAACGGGUGAGUCACGCGUGGGUCACCUGCCCUUGAAUCUGGGAUAACUUCGCGAAAGCGUGGCUAAUACCGGAUAAUGCCUCGAGGGCUUCGGCCUUUGAGGUGAAAGGUGACCUAUCCAUGUAAGUCGCCGUUCAGGAAGGGGCCCGCUUCCCAUAACCUUGUUGGUGGGGUAAAGGCUUACCAAGGCAAUAAUGGGUAGCUGGUCUGAAAGGAUGAUCAGCCACACUGGCACUGAAACACGGGCCAAACUCCUACGGGAGGCAGCAGUGAGGAAUUUUGCGCAAUGGGGGAAACCCUGACGCAGCAACGCCGCGUGAGUGAAGAAGGCUUUCGGGUCGUANAGCUCUGUCAGAAGGGAAAAAACUUUCGCGGUGAAUAGCCGCACAAUCUGAUGGUACCUUUAGAGGAAGCACCGGCUAACUCCGUGCCAGCAGCCGCGGUAAU
RNAcentral lists this ribosomal RNA (508 nucleotides) under uncultured bacterium. RNAcentral's name for it is "bacterial SSU rRNA". It matches the Rfam family "Bacterial small subunit ribosomal RNA", at positions 43 to 524 of the family's 1533-position model. The record is from RNAcentral.